Long non-coding RNA from Sinocyclocheilus anshuiensis, 403 nucleotides. RefSeq lists it as uncharacterized. NCBI's taxonomy places the organism in Eukaryota, Metazoa, Chordata, Actinopteri, Cypriniformes, Cyprinidae. The transcript has 3 exons. The record is from RefSeq and is a predicted model, not a curated record.
GAUAUGGCUGCCUCUUGAGUACCUCUUGGAGAGACUACAGGUGGAGUCCUGCCAUGUCAAACUUAAGGUCCUGAAGAUUCUCCUGCAUUUAUGUGGCCAUGGACCACCUCACUUCCUCACAGAGCUACGGCGGAAUGCUACAUUUAUACAAGAAGUAAUUGUCAAGAUGCAGUGAUGUCACCAACCCAUUUCACUUGGGGAAACAGGAUAUUCAGCAAGAUAAAAAUGUAGGGUGGGACUUGGUUUUAGCCACUGGGAAAUGAUUGGAUUGGAAAGUGGUCUCUGUAUGGGAUGAAUUGGUGAUGCCAGCCAAACUGGGAAGUCAUUUAAAGGCAAAGCAAUAAUUUAUAUUGUGAUGAAAGUUUGCAAAGACAUAUGUUUCUUGAGCACCAAAUCAGCAUAU